Prinia subflava (tawny-flanked prinia) is the source of this 2075-nucleotide RNA transcript. RefSeq lists it as uncharacterized. The record is from RefSeq and is a predicted model, not a curated record. Lineage: Eukaryota; Metazoa; Chordata; Aves; Passeriformes; Cisticolidae. The transcript is spliced from 5 exons.
UGCUCCUUUGGGACAGAGGAGAACUUUCUGGGCUUUCUUUUGCAUCAGAGGAGGUUGGGUUGCUAUGCAUAAGUUCACAGAGCAACCCAUAGAAGCUGCUAUUGUGAUGUCAGUGGAGGGCUGCCACAUCACAGUGCUGUCAAGACGAGGUUGCCCUGGUGCAUGCAAGGCAUCAGCGCCCAGAGCAGCUCUUGGCGUGCUCGUUGCAGGAGGAUUGCCUUGACGGAGCUGUUCUCAGGCAACAGUUUGUGCCCUGACAAGGGAGUCUGUUUCUUUUGCCUGCUGUUGCACAAGUCUGUGGACUUGUGUAGGCAUUGUUUUUUUUUUCCCCUGCGGUUGUAGGGUGUACGGACACGUGCCGGUGUCCUUUUUUAUUUUCGUUGUUUUUUGAACAGUCUGGGGACUUGGGAAGGUGUCUUUUGUUUUCACCUCUUUCUUGGACAGUCCGUGGAUUACAACGGGUGUCCUUUUGUGUCCCUUUUUCCUUGCGCAGUCUGGGGACUUGUGCAAGUGGUUUUUUUUUUCCGUUUUUGUUUUCUGACCCACGGACUGGAGCAGCCCUGCUGAAACGAUGGAGCGAGUCCGUAGAGCAGUCAGCAGGGCUUUUUCAUCAGUGUCAUCCCGCAGAUUUUUGAAUGGUCUGAGACGUAAGUCGAAGUUUAUCCCUUGGGGCAGCACAUUGAGAGCAAAGUGCCAUAAAGGUGCCAUUGUGUUGGUAGAGCUUCUGCCAACAGCUUCGGCUAAAAAGAGGGUGUCUCUUGCCCAGCAGGCUGUGGACAACUUCCAAAAUUCAGGCUAGGAGAGCUUUGCAGGUGUCCUUCUAAAAACUGUGCGGUUCUCUCCAGAACUGAGGGAAAGCAGCUUUUUUCUGUGCUCCAUCCUUAAAGGAUGCGCCUGUUGAACUGGACCCUCUCUGUGUGCUACAAGAGCCAUUGGCUUUGGGCUGAAGGGCCGAGUGCCAAGCCGUCUUGUGUGUGCGCCUGAAACCCACAGCUGGGCUUGUGCUGUGUCUGAACAGAACUGCAAGCACUAAGAGGCAUUUGGAGAAAGCUUUUGUGGGGAAUUGUUCACAGCAACCACAAGGGACAUGCUGCAUGCAUUUUACAAAAAGAAAAUUAAAGCCCAGGAAAGAGAGGAGAAACAAGCCACUUUAGCUGUAGCGUGGACAAUGAGCUACAAUGUAGGCCCUGAGUGCUGAGGAACAAUUUGCAUUUUCCCGGCCAAAUUUCUUAACAGAAACUUGGCCGGCAAGAGGUUGACACAGCCUAGGGUAUUGGCCUGCAGUCUUGCUUGCUGUGCUAAAGAAGUGUUGCUCUGGGAGGGAUGCUGUGAAAGGAAAAUGCCCUCUGCUUGGGUGAUCUUAUUCUGUGGGCUUCCUCAGCACAGACAGUUUUGUAACAUCACCUGGUUCAUUUUCCCUUCCACCUGCAGGUCGCCUCAGAGGUGGAAGGAGUCAAGGCCGUGGUUCGAGCACCACAGCACCAGCAGAAGAACCUCCUCUGGCUCGCUCUCUUCCUCCAGAGGCUAAAGAGGAGGCAAAGGACAACUUACCUGCACGUGCUGUCAGUCCAGGGCCGGAGCAUCUGGAACCAGCCCCAGCAGGAGAGAUUCUUGCCAGUCAGGACUGCUGGGCCCAGGCAGGAGAGGCGGAGCAGCAGGAGAGCAUGGAUAGAGUGUGCGAAGCCCGGGAUUUCAGAUGGGAGCAGUUGUCUGCCCUUGAGAGAAAGCACCACUCCUCGCUAGCCCGGGCCUUUGAAACGUCAGCAGAGACAGCGGAGGAAUUGCAGCCUCACAGGGAUCUGCUGAAGGAAGAGGUUCCUCUGGCGGUGCCAAAGGUUUGCCGCCCACAGGGGCCAUCCCCCAGGGUUCUGGAGAGGCUGCUCCAGGAGUCCUCUCGCCAAGGGGACACGCUGUCCCAGGUGUGCAGAGAGGAAACGGUGCUGGCACAAGAGAAGGCUGCCCUGGAAGCCCAGCUGCCAGGCACGGAGCGGAAGCUACGAGGCCUUUCCAAGCAGCUGGUAGAGACCAGGUAAAGGCAGGGAGGAGAAUCUGGAUGAGGCAUUAUUGAAGGUCUG